AGAACAAGUACCGUUCGAAUAGGGCGGUACCUUGACGGUACCUAACCAGAAAGCCACGGCUAACUACGUGCCAGCAGCCGCGGUAAUACGUAGGUGGCAAGCGUUGUCCGGAAUUAUUGGGCGUAAAGGGCUCGCAGGCGGUUUCUUAAGUCUGAUGUGAAAGCCCCCGGCUCAACCGGGGAGGGUCAUUGGAAACUGGGGAACUUGAGUGCAGAAGAGGAGAGUGGAAUUCCACGUGUAGCGGUGAAAUGCGUAGAGAUGUGGAGGAACACCAGUGGCGAAGGCGACUCUCUGGUCUGUAACUGACGCUGAGGAGCGAAAGCGUGGGGAGCGAACAGGAUUAGAUACCCUGGUAGUCCACGCCGUAAACGAUGAGUGCUAAGUGUUAGGGGGUUUCCGCCCCUUAGUGCUGCAGCUAACGCAUUAAGCACUCCGCC
This 437-nucleotide ribosomal RNA is filed under the name Bacillus subtilis. RNAcentral's name for it is "bacterial SSU rRNA". It matches the Rfam family "Bacterial small subunit ribosomal RNA", at positions 446 to 873 of the family's 1533-position model. Lineage: Bacteria; Bacillati; Bacillota; Bacilli; Caryophanales; Bacillaceae. The record is from RNAcentral.